AUACGUAGGUGGCAAGCGUUGUCCGGAAUUAUUGGGCGUAAAGCGCGCGCAGGCGGUCUCUUAAGUCUGAUGUGAAAGCCCCCGGCUCAACCGGGGAGGGUCAUUGGAAACUGGGAGACUUGAGUGCAGGAGAGGGAAGCGGAAUUCCAUGUGUAGCGGUGAAAUGCGUAGAGAUAUGGAGGAACACCAGUGGCGAAGGCGGCUUCCUGGCCUGUAACUGGCGCUGAGGCGCGAAAGCGUGGGGAGCAAACAGGAUUAGAUACCCUGGUAGUCCACGCCGUAAACGAUGAGUGCUAGGUGUUAGGGGGUUUCCGCCCCUUAGUGCUGCAGCUAACGCAUUAAGCACUCCGCCUGGGGAGUACGGUCGCAAGACUGAA
Molecule: ribosomal RNA, 377 nt
Filed under: uncultured bacterium
Lineage: Bacteria
Description: bacterial SSU rRNA
Rfam family: Bacterial small subunit ribosomal RNA
Source: RNAcentral